RNAcentral lists this ribosomal RNA (448 nucleotides) under uncultured bacterium. RNAcentral's name for it is "bacterial SSU rRNA". It matches the Rfam family "Bacterial small subunit ribosomal RNA", at positions 355 to 796 of the family's 1533-position model. The record is from RNAcentral.
UCGAGAAUUUUUCACAAUGGGCGCAAGCCUGAUGGAGCGACGCCGCGUGGGGGAUGAAUGGCUUCGGCCCGUAAACCCCUGUCAUUUGCGAACAAAUUGCUUAACCUAACACGUGGAGCAUUGAUAGUAGCGAAAGAGGAAGGGACGGCUAACUCUGUGCCAGCAGCCGCGGUAAUACAGAGGUCCCAAGCGUUGUUCGGAUUCACUGGGCGUAAAGGGUGCGUAGGUGGCGAGGUAAGUCGGAUGUGAAAGCUCGGAGCUCAACUCCGAAAUGGCAUUGGAAACUACCUUGCUAGAGGGUCGGAGGGGGGACUGGAAUUCUUGGUGUAGCAGUGAAAUGCGUAGAUAUCAAGAGGAACACCAGUGGCGAAGGCGAGUCCCUGGACGACUCCUGACACUGAGGCACGAAAGCUAGGGGAGCAAACAGGAUUAGAUACCCCCGUAGUCC